Molecule: long non-coding RNA, 367 nt
Organism: Haemorhous mexicanus (house finch)
Lineage: Eukaryota; Metazoa; Chordata; Aves; Passeriformes; Fringillidae
Exons: 4
Source: RefSeq, a predicted model, not a curated record
AGGUGGGAUACCUGAAGGCAGCAGAAGGCCUUGAAAAGUAAUGCACUGUUCUUCAUAUGAAGAUGAAGAGUAGCAUAUUCUGAUACCAGUCACUGUGAUCACUCAGCCCAGAGAUGUGACACAGGUUAGUCCACCAGUCCUGUGAGUCCCAGCAGACAUCUCCAAAAGAAAUCACCAGUCUGAUCACAAAGUUAAUCAGGGGAGAUGCUCUGCAUAACAGAGUGAAUAAACUUAAAGUCCUUAGCAUUCCCAUUUGCUUUUCUGGGGAUAAAUUCAGACAGAGAAAGGCAGAUCCCUGACUUUUGUUCUCUUCAAAACAAGAAUUAAGAUACAUGUGUUGGAAGAAUAUUACUGAAGUCACCCAAAG